This is a long non-coding RNA of Ruditapes philippinarum (Manila clam), 2028 nucleotides long. RefSeq lists it as uncharacterized. NCBI's taxonomy places the organism in Eukaryota, Metazoa, Mollusca, Bivalvia, Venerida, Veneridae. The transcript has 4 exons. The record is from RefSeq and is a predicted model, not a curated record.
UGAUCAUGUUACAAUUUUAAAACGACAUAUUGAUUAUAUAACAUUAAGUUUAUGUUCAUGACUGUAUGAAAAGAUCAUUUCAAAUUUAAAACGAAGGUCUUUUGUUAUACUAGACCUGCUUUUGUUUGAAUUGACUGGCUCUGUUCCAUAACGUGAUUUUAUACAUAGCAUUGGCAUAACUUCAUUGAAAAACGGUGUUGAACUGCAAAUUGGAUAUUAGAAACGGAAAUGUCUGACGAAGAGGUUAUUAAAGUAGCUUCGACAGUAGGGACAGCUCCGCUGUGGGUGCCGGUAGCUGCCGCAGGUGGCCUUGUUUAUGGUGCAGGAAAAGGCCUCGAUGCUGCAAACGACUUCGGGAAGAAGAAUGGCCCUUUAGCUGGUAUAGCAGCCUCGCCAUUUAUUGUUGGUGCCAAUAUUAUAGCUGGUCCAUUCAGAGGAAUCAAGAAAGUGGGCGAUGUGAUGGUAGGGAAAAAGAAGAAAAAGUAAACUUUGUAUUAUCAAGCACUGUGUGAGGGAUGGCUUGUAUGAAAUACCAGUCAAUCAAUUACUAUUUAACUUUUUUAUAUCUCUACCGGAUUCUUUUCAAUUAAUUUUGACAUUUAUUAAUCUUUCAUUCAUCACAGUUUAAUCAGUGCAUAUAUACAAUAAUGUCUCGUCUGCUAGCGUUUCAUUUUUUAGAUUUUUUUUUAUGAUUAUACACAGAUUUAAUUGCAUAGUACAAUUUGCAUUUUAUAUCAUAAAUUUCGACGUUAUGAAUAACAUUAUGAUCACCAGACAAAACCAAAUACAUAAACAUUUGAACUGAAGACCAAUGGAAUGUUUUUGAAGUGUUGUUCCUAUCCCAUUGAAGAUAUCAUGUAACCAUUUUAGUUAAUCUUUGAUAUUGUUAAAUAUGUAUAUGACGGUCUAGAUCUUAUAAACAUAAUUAUGUUGAAAAUAUUAUAUCUUGUUCUUGUUUGUAACUUUAUUUAAUUAUAUCUCCCAAAAUUUUUGGGAGACAUAUUGUUUUUUUUGCAUUCGCCGUCUGUCUGUCCGUCCGUCUGUCUGUCCGUCCGUCAGGUUGUCCGUCCUUAGUCCUGAGUACCAUCCUUAGUUGUGCACAUCACCGGUACGUUCCGCUUCACUGCACAAAAUGGCCACCAGAGAGAGAUAAAAAUAGAAAAUUAUUGUCCGGCCUACACAGGUCAAGCUACUGGUGGGAUUUCAACCAAACUUUACAGGAGUGAUCAGUACCAUCCUUAGUUGUGCAUAUUUACGGCACGAUCCGGUUUGCUGCACAAAAUGGCCGCCAGGGCUAAAAUAGAAAAUUCUUGUGCGGCCUUCUCAGGUCAAACUACUAGUGGGAUUUCUACUGAACGUUACAAGAGUGAUCAGUAACAUCCCUAGUUGUGCACAACACCGGCACGUUCCGCUUUGCUGCACAAAAUGGCCAUCAGAGCUAUAAAAAGAAAAACUCUUUUCCGGCUUUCACAGGUCAAGCUUAUGGUAGGAGUUCAAUGAAACUUCACAUGAGGGACUGGGAGACAUAUGCUUUUGUGAUAUUAACCCUUCUAGUUUACAUUUCAUGAUGCACACUCAAUUUCUAAGUCUGAAAUAAUAAAUUAUAUAAUCAGAAACUUUUCCGAGUCGUAUCUUCAGAAAUCACAAAAAGGUUUAAUGUAUAAUUUAUUCGUACCAUUUACAUUUCCUUAACCAAGUGCCACGACAAAUUUCUCAUAUUGACUUUUCCAUUGUUCAAACAAGACAAUUUAAAGACAAUUUCAAAUUAUGUAGCGGUUGCCUGAAUAACGAAUAGCGGAAGUGCAGACCAUGACAAGACUGCGCGGCUGUACCGGCUGACAUUGGUCUGCAAUGGUUGCAUGGGUACAUUCAUUUGGCACCAGUAGGCUAAGGGUUACACACUCACAAAUAUAUAUAUAUAUUUUUUACUGCAAUAUUCAUGACAUUUCAUUAGUUACUGCUUUUCUGUCAAGUUGAUAAAGUGUAUGUAAGUCAUGUAACUGAAAUAAAAAUUUAUAUAAGAUUUAA